GGCAGAUCUGACAGAGAGUUCCUUUAUCAAAUUCUGGGGGAAGUGAUAAAGGCUGGGGCAACUACUCUCAACAUACCAGAUACUGUGGGUUAUACAAUGCCUCUCGAAUUUGGCAAGUUGAUUGCUGAUAUAAAAUCUAAUACUCCUGGCAUUGAAAAUGUUAUCAUUUCAACACACUGCCAGAAUGAUCUUGGUCUUGCAACUGCCAACACAGUAUCAGGGGCAUGCGCAGGUGCAAGGCAAGUUGAGGUCACAAUUAAUGGCAUUGGUGAGAGAGCUGGAAAUGCUUCGCUAGAGGAGGUGGUAAUGGCCUUACAAUGUCGUGGAGAGCAUGUG
RNAcentral lists this unclassified non-coding RNA (336 nucleotides) under Hevea brasiliensis (rubber tree). Lineage: Eukaryota; Viridiplantae; Streptophyta; Magnoliopsida; Malpighiales; Euphorbiaceae. The record is from RNAcentral.